This 825-nucleotide ribosomal RNA is filed under the name uncultured Lysobacter sp. Its description in RNAcentral is "bacterial SSU rRNA". It matches the Rfam family "Bacterial small subunit ribosomal RNA", at positions 51 to 864 of the family's 1533-position model. The record is from RNAcentral. Lineage: Bacteria; Pseudomonadati; Pseudomonadota; Gammaproteobacteria; Lysobacterales; Lysobacteraceae.
ACACAUGCAAGUCGAACGGCAGCACAGAGGAGCUUGCUCCUUGGGUGGCGAGUGGCGGACGGGUGAGGAAUACGUCGGAAUCUGCCUAUUUGUGGGGGAUAACGUAGGGAAACUUACGCUAAUACCGCAUACGACCUACGGGUGAAAGUGGGGGACCUUCGGGCCUCACGCAGAUAGAUGAGCCGACGUCGGAUUAGCUAGUUGGCGGGGUAAAGGCCCACCAAUGCGACGAUCCGUAGCUGGUCUGAGAGGGUGAUCAGCCACACUGGAACCGAGACACGGUCCAGACUCCUACGGGAGGCAGCAGUGGGGAAUAUUGGACAAUGGGCGCAAGCCUGAUCCAGCCAUGCCGCGUGUGUGAAGAAGGCCUUCGGGUUGUAAAGCACUUAUGUCCGGAAAGAAAAGCUUAGGGUUAAUAACCCUGAGUCAUGACGGUACCGGAGGAAUAAGCACCGGCUAACUUCGUGCCAGCAGCCGCGGUAAUACGAAGGGUGCAAGCGUUACUCGGAAUUACUGGGCGUAAAGCGUGCGUAGGUGGUUUGUUAAGUCUGAUGUGAACGCCCUGGGCUCAACCUGGGAAUGGCAUUGGAAACUGGCUUACUAGAGUGCGGUAGAGGGUACUGGAAUUCCCGGUGUAGCAGUGAAAUGCGUAGAUAUCGGGAGGAACAUCUGUGGCGAAGGCGACUACCUGGACCAGCACUGACACUGAGGUACGAAAGCGUGGGGAGCAAACAGGAUUAGAUAUCCUGGUAGUCCACGCCCUAAACGAUGCGAACUGGAUGUUGGGGGCAACUUGGCCCUCAGUAUCGAAGCUAACGCGUUAAG